This 201-nucleotide long non-coding RNA is filed under the name Lathyrus oleraceus (garden pea). Its description in RNAcentral is "Pisum sativum (pea) long non-coding RNA (PSAT_LNC025881)". Lineage: Eukaryota; Viridiplantae; Streptophyta; Magnoliopsida; Fabales; Fabaceae. The record is from RNAcentral.
UUAGAGUUAAGGUGGCUUGAGCACACCUCAACAUGGCCUGAGGACUUUGAAUUUUUACAAAUGAAUCUCAUGCCUUGAAUUUGUGGAUUAUUGUGGAUUGUUAAGUAUGGAUGUGUAUGAGAUGACAUGUGUGGUAUGUGUACUCAUGGAGUAGGGCUUAAGAAGGUGAAGUGGGGUUGGGUAAAUUUGCGGGUAUGACAG